UCUGAUGUUAGCGGCGGACGGGUGAGUAACACGUGGAUAACCUACCUAUAAGACUGGGAUAACUUCGGGAAACCGGAGCUAAUACCGGAUAAUAUUUUGAACCGCAUGGUUCAAAAGUGAAAGACGGUCUUGCUGUCACUUAUAGAUGGAUCCGCGCUGCAUUAGCUAGUUGGUAAGGUAACGGCUUACCAAGGCAACGAUGCAUAGCCGACCUGAGAGGGUGAUCGGCCACACUGGAACUGAGACACGGUCCAGACUCCUACGGGAGGCAGCAGUAGGGAAUCUUCCGCAAUGGGCGAAAGCCUGACGGAGCAACGCCGCGUGAGUGAUGAAGGUCUUCGGAUCGUAAAACUCUGUUAUUAGGGAAGAACAUAUGUGUAAGUAACUGUGCACAUCUUGACGGUACCUAAUCAGAAAGCCACGGCUAACUACGUGCCAGCAGCCGCGGUAAUACGUAGGUGGCAAGCGUUAUCCGGAAUUAUUGGGCGUAAAGCGCGCGUAGGCGGUUUUUUAAGUCUGAUGUGAAAGCCCACGGCUCAACCGUGGAGGGUCAUUGGAAACUGGAAAACUUGAGUGCAGAAGAGGAAAGUGGAAUUCCAUGUGUAGCGGUGAAAUGCGCAGAGAUAUGGAGGAACACCAGUGGCGAAGGCGACUUUCUGGUCUGUAACUGACGCUGAUGUGCGAAAGCGUGGGGAUCAAACAGGAUUAGAUACCCUGGUAGUCCACGCCGUAAACGAUGAGUGCUAAGUGUUAGGGGGUUUCCGCCCCUUAGUGCUGCAGCUAACGCAUUAAGCACUCCGCCUGGGGAGUACGACCGCAAGGUUGAAACUCAAAGGAAUUGACGGC
This 846-nucleotide ribosomal RNA is filed under the name uncultured bacterium. Its description in RNAcentral is "bacterial SSU rRNA". It matches the Rfam family "Bacterial small subunit ribosomal RNA", at positions 85 to 917 of the family's 1533-position model. The record is from RNAcentral.